UGGCCCGUGGUGUAAUGGUAGCACAAGGGUUUUUGGUACCCUUGGUCCAGGUUCGAAUCCUGGCGGGCUAG
This 71-nucleotide transfer RNA is filed under the name Phycisphaerales bacterium. RNAcentral describes it as "tRNA-Gln". It matches the Rfam family "tRNA". Rfam says of the family: Transfer RNA (tRNA) molecules are approximately 80 nucleotides in length. The record is from RNAcentral. Lineage: Bacteria; Pseudomonadati; Planctomycetota; Phycisphaerae; Phycisphaerales.